AACAUCGAUACAAAGGAAAAGCGUGUGUGUUCACGCAUACUGUAAAUGCAAACAAGGAAAUUGUGGAACAUGUUCACACACUCUGGCUGUAAAAGUAGACCUGGGAGGAAAAGUGCCCCCGGUGUGGGGCUCGAACUCACAACCACCAGAACACUAGCCCGGCGCUCUAACCAACUAAGCUGACCGGGCAGCUAGUUCUAACCCACACACACUACCCUCCCCCCAUUUACCGGUUAAGGCUGGUGGAGGGUCUCCUGCUAUUUACCGUUGACACCAUUAAAGUAUUCUGAUUGAUGGAGAUAAGGAAGUCCACUUAUAAUUGUCUUCAACAAGCCUACCGCCACAGGGGACCUAGCAUAAGACCGGAAACCGCCCCCCCCCCCACACACACACAUGAUAUUUGCCAGUCCAGGCAAUGUCAACCGCAAGAGAAAACCGGUGAUGACAAGUUUUACAAAUAAUCGGAAAGUGUGGUCUUUUGAAGAGAGUUCUUGAAGUUGUUCAGCAUGUUUUUUUUGAUGGAUUCUUG
Mya arenaria is the source of this 529-nucleotide long non-coding RNA. RefSeq lists it as uncharacterized. The transcript is spliced from 3 exons. The record is from RefSeq and is a predicted model, not a curated record. Lineage: Eukaryota; Metazoa; Mollusca; Bivalvia; Myida; Myidae.